Molecule: ribosomal RNA, 490 nt
Filed under: uncultured bacterium
Lineage: Bacteria
Description: partial 16S ribosomal RNA
Rfam family: Bacterial small subunit ribosomal RNA
Source: RNAcentral
AUUGAACGCUGGCGGCAGGCCUAACACAUGCAAGUCGAACGGUAACAGGAAGCAGCUUGCUGCUUUGCUGACGAGUGGCGGACGGGUGAGUAAUGUCUGGGAAACUGCCCGAUGGAGGGGGAUAACUACUGGAAACGGUAGCUAAUACCGCAUAACGUCGCAAGACCAAAGAGGGGGACCUUAGGGCCUCUUGCCAUCGGAUGUGCCCAGAUGGGAUUAGCUAGUAGGUGGGGUAACGGCUCACCUAGGCGACGAUCCCUAGCUGGUCUGAGAGGAUGACCAGCCACACUGGAACUGAGACACGGUCCAGACUCCUACGGGAGGCAGCAGUGGGGAAUAUUGCACAAUGGGCGCAAGCCUGAUGCAGCCAUGCCGCGUGUAUGAAGAAGGCCUUUGGGUUGUAAAGUACUUUCAGCGGGGAGGAAGGGAGUAAAGUUAAUACCUUUGCUCAUUGACGUUACCCGCAGAAGAAGCACCGGCUAACUCCGUG